Long non-coding RNA from Entelurus aequoreus (snake pipefish), 382 nucleotides. RefSeq lists it as uncharacterized. The record is from RefSeq and is a predicted model, not a curated record. The transcript is spliced from 3 exons. Lineage: Eukaryota; Metazoa; Chordata; Actinopteri; Syngnathiformes; Syngnathidae.
GACUAUUUUGUCAACGUGGACCAGUACGAAGUUGGAUUAGCUGCUAAUCUCAGACGAAAAAAACGGCACCAUUGCGACAUUACUACUUGGUUUGAGGAAACAUAAGAAGGCAGCCGCAUGAGAUGACUGGUGGAUACAUCAUCACCACACGGCCGCUCUUCUGCCUGUGAGCGUGCUCAGCCGUGACCACAGCCACGAUGAUGUCUUUAUGAGGCCUCCCCGAGCCACCAGGAAGAGGACAAAGACCAGUUUUGUCAUGACAGAAGCCUGCAGACUCAUUUGGUGCGUCCUGUCCCUCCAAUCCUCCGGCGAAUGUGUGGCGCGUCCGACAGAUGAAAUCAUUGGAGCCUGCAGACGAGUCAUCACUGCAGCUGAGUGGAAG